GCGGUUAUUCCCUCUGACCAAGCUGUCAGUAGAGAGAUCCGUCAUGUAGAGGAAACUACUCCACAUCAUCUGUUUAUGCAGGAGGACGAGAUGGCCUCGUGGCUUCAUUACCCACUCGAUGACCCCUCCUUCGAACGUGAUCUCUACUCCGAUCUCCUAUAUCCCACGCCCACUUCUACCUUAACCACCGCCGCGCUGCCACGAGAAAACCGUACGUCUACGUUUGAGAUCCGUCCACCUCCGCCACAACCAUCGCCUGCAGCGCCGAUCGGAACGGCUCCUCGACCGCCUAUACCUCCUUCUAGGCGCACCGUCACAGAAAAUUCAAAUCGAUUCCAG
Molecule: unclassified non-coding RNA, 339 nt
Filed under: Hevea brasiliensis (rubber tree)
Lineage: Eukaryota; Viridiplantae; Streptophyta; Magnoliopsida; Malpighiales; Euphorbiaceae
Source: RNAcentral